UCCUGUGUUGUGGUGAAGUCCUUAGGACUAUUUAGACUCGACAAAGGAGGAUUUGUCGCUUAGUCCUUAAACCUAUUCGCGACCAAAUGAUACGUUGUUACCAAGGACGACAACGUUUAUCGAGCAUAGGUCGUUGUGUGCCAUAUGGGUUGGUUGUCCUCAUAAUCAAAGAGUGUGGAGACACUGGUAUGGCAUACAGGUGAGAUGUAAUGGUAC
This 216-nucleotide long non-coding RNA is filed under the name Elaeis guineensis (African oil palm). RNAcentral describes it as "long non-coding RNA (EGUI_LNC053148)". Lineage: Eukaryota; Viridiplantae; Streptophyta; Magnoliopsida; Arecales; Arecaceae. The record is from RNAcentral.